CCUACUGGAGGCAGCAGUGAGGAAUAUUGGUCAAUGGGCGCAAGCCUGAACCAGCCAAGUAGCGUGCGGGAUGACUGCCCUACGGGUCGUAACCCUCUUUUGCACGGGGAUAACGCCCACCAUGUGUGCAGCUUUGCAUGUACCUUGCGAAUAAGGAUCGGCUAAUUCCGUGCCAGCAGCCGCGGUAAUACGGAGGGCCCGUGCGUUAUCCGGAUUUAUUGGGUUUAAAGGGUGCGUAGGCGGCCUUUUAAGUCAGUGGUGAAAGUAUGCGGCUCAACCAGAGAAUUGCCGUUGAAACUGGGAGGCUUGAGUAUGUUUGAGGCAGGCGGAAUGCGUGGUGUAGCGGUGAAAUGCUUAGAUAUCACGCAGAACUCCGAGUGCGAAGGCAGCCUGCUAAGCCAUGACUGACGCUGAUGCACGAAAGUGUGGGUAUCAAACAGGAUUAGAUACCCGAGUAGUC
Molecule: ribosomal RNA, 460 nt
Filed under: uncultured bacterium
Lineage: Bacteria
Description: partial 16S ribosomal RNA
Rfam family: Bacterial small subunit ribosomal RNA
Source: RNAcentral